Pelobates cultripes (western spadefoot toad) is the source of this 454-nucleotide non-coding RNA. The record is from the annotation of a GenBank genome assembly. Lineage: Eukaryota; Metazoa; Chordata; Amphibia; Anura; Pelobatidae.
CACCCCACUCAGAGCCACCCUCCAACACCCUUAGGGAUGUCACAAACAGACAAACUAACCUUAGAUUCAGAGUUGCACAAACUAUUAGACAAAGGGGCGAUCGAACCCUCGCCUUUCCCUAACACUUUCCUCGGCAACAUGUUCCUGGUACGGAAAAAGACGGGAGACCACCGUCCUAUUAUCAACCUCAAAGAACUGAAUCAGUUCAUCACAUAUCGAAGGUAUCCAUCUUCUCAGGGACCUACUCUGCGUGGGAGACUGGUUCUCCAGAUUCGACCUCAAGGAUGCUUACCUCACGGUCCCCAUCGCACCAAGUCAUCGUGCGUUCCUUCAAUUCCUCUGGCAUGGCGAAAUUUGGCAGUUCACCUGCCUUCCUUUCGGACUUUUUCCUCCCCUUGGUGUUUCACCAAGUUAAUGAAGCCGGUCAUGGCACUACUCCGCUCUCGGGGAAUAC